GACGAACGCUGGCGGCGUGCUUAACACAUGCAAGUCGAACGGAAAGGCCCUGCUUUUGUGGGGUGCUCGAGUGGCGAACGGGUGAGUAACACGUGAGUAACCUGCCCUUGACUUUGGGAUAACUUCAGGAAACUGUGGUUAAUACCGGAUAGGAGCUCCUGCUGCAUGGUGGGGGUUGGACAGUUUCGGCGGUUGGGGAUGGACUCGCGGCUUAUCAGCUUGUUGGUGGGGUAGUGGCUUACCAAGGCUUUGACGGGUAGCCGGCCUGAGAGGGUGACCGGCCACAUUGGGACUGAGAUACGGCCCAGACUCGUACGUGAGGCAGCAGUGGGGAAUAUUGCACAAUGGGCGGAAGCCUGAUGCAGCAACGCCGCGUGCGGGAUGACGGCCUUCGGGUAGUAAACCGCUUUCGCCUGAGACGAAGCGUGGGUGACGGUAAUGGGUGAAGAAGCACCGGCUAACUACGUG
RNAcentral lists this ribosomal RNA (468 nucleotides) under uncultured bacterium. Its description in RNAcentral is "partial 16S ribosomal RNA". It matches the Rfam family "Bacterial small subunit ribosomal RNA", at positions 28 to 507 of the family's 1533-position model. The record is from RNAcentral.